RNAcentral lists this small RNA (125 nucleotides) under Marmota monax (woodchuck). Lineage: Eukaryota; Metazoa; Chordata; Mammalia; Rodentia; Sciuridae. The record is from RNAcentral.
GCUGGGCUCGGUGGUGCAUGCCUGUAAUCCCAGUGGCUCUGGAGGCUGAGGUAGGAGAAUCACGAGUUCAAAGCCAGCUUUAGCAACAGUGAAGUGCUAAGCAAUUCAGUGAGACCCUGUCUCUA